GGAUAUGUUGCGUGCGAAAUUGGUAAAACUUCUUUUAGGUAUUACCAUAAGGUACAGUUAGUAUUUUUUUUGCAAUAAUUGGUAACAUUGCUAUAAUGUAAUUUUGAAUCCAUCAUGUUGGUACAAAAUAAAUCGUACGUGCAUCGUCAUUGCAGGUGAACGAUGUCGUGAAAUAACAUCGAGUUUUUAUUAUCUGGAGAGUUUUAGCAACCUACUAAAAAAGCAAUUACAAAAUAUACAAUCAAGGCUACCUAAUUUGGAUGUCCACUAUAUCAACGAAAGGAUCCAUUUGGCGAACUGUUUAGAUUCAAUUUGAAGGACGCCGUACUUCCCGAAACAGGAAUAUUCUCAUAUGGAUAUGGGUUCCGGAUAAACUUCGAUAUGCCCGAGGAAGGAAAAUUGCAUAAAAUAUCA
Molecule: long non-coding RNA, 414 nt
Organism: Ctenocephalides felis (cat flea)
Lineage: Eukaryota; Metazoa; Arthropoda; Insecta; Siphonaptera; Pulicidae
Exons: 3
Source: RefSeq, a predicted model, not a curated record